CUCUCUAGUGACCGAUAGUGAACCAGUACCGUGAGGGAAAGGUGAAAAGCACCCCGGAAGGGGAGUGAAAUAGAACCUGAAACCGUGUGCUUACAAGUAGUCAGAGCCCGUUAAUGGGUGAUGGCGUGCCUUUUGUAGAAUGAACCGGCGAGUUACGAUUUGAUGCAAGGUUAAGCAGUAAAUGUGGAGCCGUAGCGAAAGCGAGUCUGAAUAGGGCGUUUAGUAUUUGGUCGUAGACCCGAAACCAGGUGAUCUACC
RNAcentral lists this ribosomal RNA (258 nucleotides) under Staphylococcus aureus. Its description in RNAcentral is "partial 23S ribosomal RNA". It matches the Rfam family "Bacterial large subunit ribosomal RNA", at positions 473 to 734 of the family's 2925-position model. Lineage: Bacteria; Bacillati; Bacillota; Bacilli; Caryophanales; Staphylococcaceae. The record is from RNAcentral.